UUCUAGAGAAAAAUAAUGAGGGGUGUCACGGGGUAUGACUAUAUAGGUCUUGUAGAAGAGAAACAGGCGCUUCUUUUGCGCAAGGUAUCAAAGGGCGCUAUGUUCAAAAAUCUGAAACUAGAGCUCAAAAUUUGAAAAAAAUGGAAAAAACAGGGGGGUCGGCCUAUUCAAGGGCUUCUAGAGAAAAAUAAUGAGGGGUGUCACGGGGUAUGACUAUAUAGGUCUUGUAGAAGAGAAACAGGCGCUUCUUUUGCGCAAGGUAUCAAAGGGCGCUAUGUUCAAAAAUCUGAAACUAGAGCUCAAAAUUUGAAAAAAAUGGAAAAAAGGGGGG
Molecule: long non-coding RNA, 331 nt
Filed under: Mytilus galloprovincialis (Mediterranean mussel)
Lineage: Eukaryota; Metazoa; Mollusca; Bivalvia; Mytilida; Mytilidae
Source: RNAcentral